This 472-nucleotide ribosomal RNA is filed under the name uncultured bacterium. Its description in RNAcentral is "partial 16S ribosomal RNA". It matches the Rfam family "Bacterial small subunit ribosomal RNA", at positions 28 to 507 of the family's 1533-position model. The record is from RNAcentral.
GACGAACGCUGGCGGCGUGCUUAACACAUGCAAGUCGAACGAUGAAGCUUGGUGCUUGCACUGGGUGGAUGAGUGGCGAACGGGUGAGUAAUACGUGAGUAACCUGCCCUUGACUCUGGGAUAAGCCUGGGAAACUGGGUCUAAUACUGGAUAUGACAUGCCACUGCAUGGUGGUGUGUGGAAAGGGUUUUACUGGUUUUGGAUGGGCUCACGGCCUAUCAGCUUGUUGGUGGGGUAAUGGCCUACCAAGGCGACGACGGGUAGCCGGCCUGAGAGGGUGACCGGCCACACUGGGACUGAGACACGGCCCAGACUCCUACGGGAGGCAGCAGUGGGGAAUAUUGCACAAUGGGCGGAAGCCUGAUGCAGCGACGCCGCGUGAGGGAUGACGGCCUUCGGGUUGUAAACCUCUUUCAGCACGGAAGAAGCGAGAGUGACGGUACGUGCAGAAGAAGCGCCGGCUAACUACGUG